GUUCCUGUUGCUCCAUGAUUUCAGCAGAAUUUAGUGUCAGCAUACUAAAUUUUGGGCAUCCUAACAGAAAGAAGGAACGGACGCACACCUCCCCAAGGAGCCCUGGCACUAACUACAACACACACAGGGUUUGGCCAGACCUGGACCAGCUUUUGGAAAACACUAACUCAACUGUCAUCCAACUUGCUGCAGUUAACCACCCGUCAGUCACCCAUCAGGGGGCAUGAAGCUCUGGUUUGAUCACUUUGCUAAGGGCUGCACAAGGAAGAAAAAAAGUCAUAAAACACUAUAUUGUCAAGCAGUACUCACUGCUUCUCCUCUUCACUGUCCUCUACCUUGAGUCCCUCAAAAUAUUUCACCUGCAUGACAUUUCUUCACUUGAGAUGCUGUUUGCCCUUUAAAUGGCAUCUUAGCAUUUGAGGUCCUCUAGCUGUCUUCUUUCUUUUCCUUAGGCUGACAAUUCUGCUGAAAGUUUGUGAAAAGACUUGACAUUCACAAAAUCUAAGGUCUUCUGGUGAUACCAAAUGUAACAGGAAUGGAAGCAUCAUCAGCACUGUGCAACAUUAUGUUUCUUUAGCAUGGUUUGGCUCAGGUUACAAAACCUGGGCAGCUGUACCACAGACAGAGGCUAUGGCCAUUUCCCCUCUAUUUUAUGAUCAUCCCUGUUUCAUUACUUUGUGCUUUCACUACAUCCUGGCCUAGCAGUCUGUAGCAGCAGGCUAGAGAGAUAAGGCCUUCUGGUAAUAAAUAAAGUAGAAGGUUAAAAC
RNAcentral lists this long non-coding RNA (767 nucleotides) under Homo sapiens (human). RNAcentral's name for it is "non-protein coding lnc-PHF14-3:1". Lineage: Eukaryota; Metazoa; Chordata; Mammalia; Primates; Hominidae. The record is from RNAcentral.